UACCUGCAGCUCUAGUGGUGGCCGCUAUUAUUGGGCCUAAAACGUCCGUAGCCUGUUUAUUAAAUGCCUAGGUAAAUUGUGUGGCUUAACCAUACGAAUUCUGGGUAGACUGGUAAACUUGAGACCGGGAGAAGCUAGAGGUACUUCUGGGGUAGAGGUGAAAUUCUGUAAUCCUAGGGGGACCACCAGUGGCGAAAGCGUCUAGCUAGAACGGGUUUGACGGUGAGGGACGAAGCCCUGGGGCGCAAACGGGAUUAGACACCCCGGUAGUCCAGGGUGUAAACGCUGCUUGCUUGAUGUUGGUUGGGCUCCGAGCCCAAUCAGUGUCGGAGAGAAGUUGUUAAGCAAGCUGCCUGGGAAUUACGGUCGCAAGACUGAAACUUAAAGGAAUUGGGCGGGGGAGCACCGCAACGGGAGGAGCGUGCGGUUU
RNAcentral lists this ribosomal RNA (430 nucleotides) under uncultured archaeon. Its description in RNAcentral is "bacterial SSU rRNA". It matches the Rfam family "Archaeal small subunit ribosomal RNA", at positions 474 to 903 of the family's 1478-position model. The record is from RNAcentral.